UCGUCAGGUAGGAUAAACCUUACCUGUUCCUCCUUUCGGAGGACAGAACAGAACAUGAUGAUUGGAGCUCGCAUGAUUCGCGAUUAGCGGCUACGCGUAAUCAGGCCUUGCAAAAUGUACAUCUUCCCGGGGGUUGCACUCAGUA
Small nucleolar RNA from Delphinapterus leucas (beluga whale), 145 nucleotides. Its record names the gene U8. It matches the Rfam family "U8 small nucleolar RNA". Rfam says of the family: U8 is a member of the C/D class of snoRNA which contain the C (UGAUGA) and D (CUGA) box motifs. U8 is the RNA component of a small complex (the U8 snoRNP) which is required for accumulation of mature large subunit ribosomal RNAs, 5.8S and 28S rRNAs. Lineage: Eukaryota; Metazoa; Chordata; Mammalia; Artiodactyla; Monodontidae. The record is from Ensembl.